Molecule: long non-coding RNA, 2169 nt
Filed under: Nicotiana benthamiana
Lineage: Eukaryota; Viridiplantae; Streptophyta; Magnoliopsida; Solanales; Solanaceae
Description: long non-coding RNA (NBEN_LNC012081)
Source: RNAcentral
UUUCCCUCCAUAUUUUUUAGGACAAAAUCCAAGAUUUCCUCCAAUCAGUAAAUCAGCGAAAACCUAUUCCUCUAUGAUUCCUUCAUCGACUUGAAUCAAAAAAUUACGAAAUAUGAUUCCUUCGUCGACUUGAACCAGAAAACGUAUUCCUUUGUUGAACUCGAGACGGACAAGAUGAUCUGUUGUCAAAAUCGCACAUAUAUAUAGGUCGUCGGCCAGCCUUUUCCAAGAUAACUGCAAUUCUUUCCGAGGUGUCUUCUCUAUUUUCCCGGCCAAUGCGAUUAACAAUUGAGUUUUGGAUUGUGCUGCUCGAUUAUGCUCUAUCAUCGUUGUUAGUAUUCUGUGUUAUUUCUGUUUCUCACUUCUCUUUUCGUGUAGGUUUGAAGAUUGUUUCAGAACUCAUUCUUCUCCUUCAGUUUCUUGUAAUUAAUGGCGAAGCAAUCUGCUUACCGGGUACGAAUUUAUGUCUUCAAGUGUUUGGAAUUGAGAUUUGUGAAAGUUCAACUUUUUCUGCAUAUGCCCGUUGUCAUGUAUUUAUUGGCAAAGCAAUCUGCGUACUAGGUACGAAUUUUUUCCUUCAACGGUUGGGAUUUGAGAUUUGUGAAAGUUUAAUUUUUUCUACAUAUGCUCGUUUUUUGUGAUAUCCGACUGCUGUUAAAUUGAUGUGGGAUGAUUGGGUUUAAUCCUCCUUUGUUCCGUGACUGUUUUUCUGAUUUUUUUCCUCUGUUUUAUGGUAUUCAUGUGAUUAUUCAGAAAUUUCUAAGUGUCAUCGAUGCGUUGAAUCUAAACACUAGUCGAGAUGUUGUGUGUAAUUUUCAUUGUCGUUGAUGCAUUGUGGUGUCAAAUCUUUAUAUUUUCAUUGUCGCCGAUGCAUUUGUUCCUUUCUAUAUUUUCUGUUAUUCUUUUCAUUAUUCAAAAAUUUUCAUUGCCAUUGAUGCAUAUCUGUUUCAAAUCCUCCGUAAUCGAUGCAUAUCAUUGUUAAAGUUAGUUGAAGAAAACUACGAGGUUGCAUCAGAAGCUUAUUCACAAUAUACUCAUAUUGUUGGUUUCUAGUUUCGAAUAAAAAGUGGGUGGUUGUCUUUCCUAUUUUUAUUUUUCAUCGUCCUUUUCACUGUUUAAAAGGUUCCCCUUCGUCAGGGAAUAGCGGGUAGGAAGGAAGAAGAAUACAGAAGGGUGGUUAAGAGGUUCCUUAUAGAUAUACUAAAAUAUGUAUCCCCGUUCUUUAUCCUGGUGUCAAGCUUCUUGUAUCACUUUUAUCUUGGUAAGAAAGUUUGAUGAGCAUUUUUUGCAUGAACUAUUGUCAACAAGUUGUUAAAAGUGAAAUUUAUGUACGUUUCUACAUUAAAUAAACAUGUAAUAAGUGAUCUGAAGGAGCUAUUUACACUUUGUAUAUCUUCUUUCACUAUCAUUCUUGUGUAGUAUAUGCCAUGUAUAAGCUUUUCAACUACAUUUCCAUGAUAGAGAUGCAAAUUCCUACAGGAGAUAAUAAUUUUUCCAACCAUUCUUGGUAUUGGCAUUGUGAAAAGAUGCUCAAUCGUGCUGAUUAUUCCACUAAAAACUAAGAAGUAACUUCUCCUUUUUGUUUAUUUUACACCAUUUUAUGGAAUUUCCCGAGCAGGUGGGAUCAUAUUCCUUGGUAACAUUGCAUCCUUGCAGUUUUAAUGUUUAAGGAGAAAUUUAAAUUUCUAGGUUUAAUUCCUUUACCUUGUCAAUAUGUAGUACCUGUAAACACUAGACAUUGAUAAGCUCAGUGAAGUUUUUGCCUUUUUUUCAAUUCUGUAGUCUUAUUCACUACCCAAUAUUCCUUCAUUCACGUUCAUGUAAACUACAUCCAGAUAGCAGUUGAAUAGUCUUUUAUGGUUAAGACUCUACACCUUUUAGAUGAAUGUGUUCUGCCUAUGUGUAUUUCCUAAAGUAAUACAUAAGACUUUCUUUUGUGGUUAAGACUCUACACCUUUUAGAUGAUUGUGUUCUGCCUAUGUGUAUUUCCUUAAGUAAUACAGAAGACUUCUGCCUGAGAUGACUUUUUGAGCCAUGGAAUUACCUGCUAAUAGGAUGGUUAUUUUAUUUUAGCUACAUUUUUCAUUAAUUCCACCUUUUUACUAAUGCAUUUUUAGCUCUUUCAGUAAUUAUAGAAAAGAAAAGACUACCUUGAACGUCAUGGACAAU